This 1722-nucleotide ribosomal RNA is filed under the name Triticum aestivum (bread wheat). RNAcentral's name for it is "partial small subunit ribosomal RNA". Lineage: Eukaryota; Viridiplantae; Streptophyta; Magnoliopsida; Poales; Poaceae. The record is from RNAcentral.
AUGUACAAGGUGGUCGGCAUCGACCUCCAGUACACCGCCGGUUGUCCCGACAUAGAUCAGAAGGUUAUCGUCGCCCAGUUGUGCGUGCGCCAUCAUGUCCUCAUCUACCACUACUUCAUGGCCACAGUGCCUUGUGACUGUUUCAAUAGGUUUGUCAACAGCACCGACUACAAGUUCGCCACGGUGGAAACCACCGAUGAUGUAAAAGCGCUCAGUGUUACGUGCUUGGCCUGCAAGAACCUUGUCGAAAUCCAUGACCAUUACAGGGUCUGGGGCAGCACGAAGAAGGACUCCCUGGUCGAACUCGCCUCGGCCAUCAUCGACCUCUACUACGAAAAGAUGAAGCAGGAUGCCCAGAGAACAAGUCCCCUAUCCUGGCACAGGGCUUGGAUGCAGCAACUGGGUGCACCUCACCUCGGGUUCGCGGCCAAGAGUGUGUACACAUGCUACGAGAUGCACAUUUUACUUUGGUGUGUGCAAAUGCCAUGGUUGUUGGUAGCCACCUAUAACAGCCCCCAGAUUCCGCUGCCUCCAAAUUUCUAUGCUGAUGUUGAUGACCCACUUCUUGAAAGGUUAAAUAUCAGAACGAGUGAUGACACUAGCAAUGCAAGGCCUCUUGGUGUUUGGAGGUUGUUAGAGGUUGAUGUUUAUCUGGAGGGUGCACAUCACCUCUUUCUUGAGGUUAAUGUACAACAACAUUGCUUAGCUCAUUUGGAUUUGCUAGGGAUGCUGAAGGUAUGCUUCCCUCAAGACACACCAAAUACAAUAGUUGAUCGGCGUCAUGCACCUGACAACACAAGGCAGAUCAGAAUAUCUGAAAUUGACUUGUUGGUGAGUAGUACUGUUGGUGGCAAUAUGAGUGAGACAACCGAGCUGUUAUGUCGUCCUCUUUUGGCCUAUCGGCUGCCUGAUGCGCAUACCUUUGAGGCACAGGUCCAUGGAACGGGCCCCAUAUCCAGCGCGGGAUAUAUGCUUUGGUCUUCUGAAAUUGUGAGAAAUGGCAAAGCUUCGCUUAAGGAAAAGGCUCAAGCUGGUGACUGCUCGAGUAGUGCACAACCACCCAACAUCGAUAAGCAUGAGAAGGCAUCCACCAAUGGGAUGAAAUUAAUAUAUGAAGCCACAACUAGUGGUUGCUCUAAAGAUAUACCCCUUGUUGACCUUACUGGGGGAUCAAACAUCGCCAAGAAGGCGAAAAGGGCACUUGCAGUACCGGGAGUCAUUCUGAAAGCCCCGGACAUCACCGAGGAAUCACAACGUGAUUUAUUUUUGUAUGGCAAGCAACACCUGCAAACUAUCCAUGGUCUUGCAAGUGCCACAAAGCUCGACAAACCCAUGUUCAUUGAAAAAAUUGAUAAGUUGUUGGCCCGUUGGGCGAAACUGUUCUCUGCCCAAUUUAGUGAGGGUAUGGAGCAGAUGGUGGAAGCACUCAAGGACCUGAGAGAACUUCUUGUGGGCGAUUCUGCACCACUUCUCCCCUUUAAUGCCUCUGCUGUUGCUGCUCAAAAAACUAAGGUUGAGGAGGCACUAAAUAAGGCUCCUGCCUUCGAAGAGGCCAUCCCUGUAGCUUUAGCAAAGAUUGAAGAAGUUGAAAUUGCGGCCAAGAUAAAAUCACAGGUGCUAGCAAACAUGUAUUUUUUGAACGUGAGCAGAGUCUUGCAAGAUGCCAGUACCGCUGGUGAUCGACCAGCUGGAGUCAUGGGCGCUACCAAGGGACUAACAUAG